Long non-coding RNA from Zalophus californianus (California sea lion), 886 nucleotides. RefSeq lists it as uncharacterized. The record is from RefSeq and is a predicted model, not a curated record. Lineage: Eukaryota; Metazoa; Chordata; Mammalia; Carnivora; Otariidae. The transcript has 3 exons.
GGCAAAGCAAGGCGGUUGGCCUGCGGCCGGGGCCAGCGUCCCCUCCGCCUCUCCGCCGACGCCUCUCGACGUGGCACUCAGCCGGGGCGUUCCCGGUCCCCGCAGGCCGAGGAUCUGGGCGCGUCCCGCACCCCCCUCCUAGCCCCAGGGCGUGGUCCAUCGGCCGGGCGUCCCGUCGGGCAAGGGCGCCUGUUGCGGCUGCCGCGCGCCGGCCAGGAAAUGGAAGAGCUCAUCUGUCUGGUUUACCACUGCAUUCCCAGCACCAAAUGCAAUGCAUGACACCGUCAUGGAAUUUGAGGACUUCUCCAAGAUAAAAUUGUGAAGAAGGGGAAGCAGGCCUUUGAGGUUCAGUCUCCCUGAUGAUCGUUCUGCUCUGUAGAUGUGUGGAGGAAAACCCCUUAUUUAAACGUUGGCAGCUGCUUAGCUCGCCCAAGUGGCCUAUAGCCACAGAGUGGGAAUAUUAUUGCUCCGGUUUUCAUCUCUGGCGCUAGAACAGCAAUAAUCGUGGCAACCAACAUUAUGGAGCGGCUCUUGUACUCCAGGCCCUGCGCAAAGGACUUCUACAGGUAUUAUCCCACCUAAUCCUCCCGGAAGCAGCGUGAAAUGGCACAAUUUUGAUCAUUUCUGCUUUACAGCAUAGGAUCUGAGACUUGGUUAAGGUCACACUGCAGGUAAGUGGCAUUGUUGAAAUCUGAAUCUGGGUUUAAAUUUUUAAUUAAAUUUUAACAUGGAACGAUUUCCACAUUAAGAGCUCUAUUUUCUCAUGGCAGCAUUCGAUUAGCAGCUUCACCCCUGAAAUUGGCCAUGUCCUCUUCACUUGACUGGAUUCUCUACCACUCCCUAAUGUCUUCCCAGCAUGGAGACCAGGGGCAGUUGUCAUUUCUCA